CCAAGGUUCCGGCCAGAGAACUUGGCUCACAACACGAAGUUAUUUGACCGAGUGAAUGGAAUUGCACAAAGAAAGGGAUGCACCACAUCGCAGUUAGCCCUCGCCUGGGUACACCACCAGGGUGAUGAUGUUUGCCUGAUUCCCGGCACGACCAAGAUCGAGAAUUUCAACUAGAACAUUGGAGCUCUGUCAGUGAAGCUUACACCGGAAGAGAUGGCCGAGCUUGAAUCGAUUGCUUCUGCAGACAGUGUCAAGGGUGGCAGGUACGAUGGAAGCAUGUCUACAUGGGAAAACUCCGACACUCCACCCCUUUCUUAAUAAAAUUAUGUGUUUUUCUAGUAAGGGAUGUUGCGAAAACUUUAUUGUCUUUUGCAUGCGUAAUUAUAACUAUGAGUGUAACUAUGCGUAAUUACAACAUGUGGCGUCACACAAUCCUCAGCACUUGAAUUGGGGUCUAUCAAGGUAGUGCUUGAGUCUAUGAUGCUCAAGCUCUAUUCAAUAGCACUUAGGCUCGGGUCCGCAAAGAUUGUGCAUCAGUCCUCAAUGCUUGAGGUCGGCUCGUUAGUUAAUAAAACGUUUGUUCUUAUAAAAAUAAUUAUUUUUAAAAAAUCUAUUUUUUUAUAUUAUUUGUUUUCUUUCUUUUUAUUUUCCUUCUUCUCGGCUAGUUGCCAACCAUGGCGCCGAUUGCGCCUGAUAACAAGCACCGGAUGAGCUAGCCCAAGGCCAAGAAGACUUGAGAUUGCUGAUUUGGCAAGCUUGAAGCUGGUCAAGUGCAAGCUCGAGUUUCGCCCCGUGGCUAGUCGCCAACUACCACCGUGGCUAGCGUUCGGUCGAGGAAGAAGAAAAAGAAAAAUAAGUAAAAAUCUGAAUAUUUUGUAAUCUUCUAUAGGGAAAUCAAAUAAGAUUUUUCAUAUUAAACGAUAAAAAAUAUUUUCUAGUUUAUUUUUAAGACUUAACCAAAUAUUGAAAAUGACUUUUUGUAAAAUAUUAUUCAAAUAUGUCAUAUUUUUUGCGAAACAAACGGUACAUAAAUUUAAAUUUGAUAAUUGUCCUUGUUAAUUUGGUACACAUUAUCUGUCUCUUUGUUUUGUUGCUGAACUGAUGCUAAUCUCUAGAUGAAGCUUGACUAGUUUCAAUAGGCGGCUUGACUUUUGCGCUUCCUUUUUUUUAAAACCCAAAACACUCAAAACUUUCGUGAUACACGACUUUCGACAUGCAGAGUUACAAUCACUUCAAAUAAUUUAUCUGAAAAUUGUAUAGUGGGCCAUCCGAGAAAGGUGAGGGCAACUUGUCCCCCUAGAAAUUGUCAUGACGUGGAACUCUUGACAUGAAUUGAAGUGACUUUUGUUAAGAGUUAACUAGUCAAGAUCGGGCCACAUCUGUCCAUUCAUGUCCGCCACAUCCGGCCCCUCCAAUCGGACUCCCCGGCGAAAAGAUUCACGGACACGUGGCUGGAUCUAGAAAGUCACGGGUUUGACUUGUCUUUUGUGUCACUAUCAAGAAUGUGCAUGGUCCGGACGGGCGAUUCCCGACCUAGAAUCGGGAACUGCUUGCUAAGGACCGAUUCCAAAACAUUGAAACGGAGAUCCACCAGUUAGUUGAAUGAAUCCACUUGGGAACCAGAUCGCUGAUUCAGUCCGAUUUCUAGGUGGAUCUAUGGAACCGAUCUUGACGCUAAAUAAUUUUAUUUUCAAUAUAGAACGACUACGUGAUUUCCAUAACAACAGCUGGAGAGGUUGUAGAAGGAUAUCAUGGUAGGCACUUACGAUAAUCGUGAGGAAAUGAUAGCAAUUUUGGUUAAACUUGUUUUCUAUCAUGGCUAUCAUGGGUCGAAUAAAAUUUUGCAAGCAAAUUUCGUGUCCUAGGCAUUUUUUUUCUCUUAGGUGUGAUGCUUUAAAAACCCUCUAUGUGAUGCUUAGGAACCUUUGUUUGUGAUGAAGCCUAAAGAUUUAUUCCUUGUUGUGGACUUGUUGUCCUACAUCAAAAUCUCUCAGUCAAACUUUUUUGCUUUGUUUUGGUAAGUCUGUAUAAGGUAUAUUACAGAAGUUGCAUUACGAGAUAUUUCUUCCUUAUUGUCUUUUUAGUUUAACUAAGGCCAAAUUGUUUUGGCAUUUUUCCAAGCAUUUCAUUAUGGAAUGAUGAUAAGAAGCGAUCUUGACUUAAUGCUUUUAGUUAUUUGAUUUGGAUUUAUUAAUUAGUAAUUUCAUUUUUUAAUAUUAAAAAUUAAUAUAUUAUUUUAAUAUAAUCGGUUCGGUCUAGGUGGGCGGGUAGAUAGAUCCGCUCAUGGAACUGGGAACCAGACUGGUACUCACCGGUUCCCAUAAAUUGGAAUCGAGAACCGGACCGGUUCCCUUAAAAACUACCGGUUCUGGGCGGUCCAAGCGGGUUUCGGUUAUUUUGCACAAAGAAUUAAAAAUUCAAUUUUUUUUAAAAAUAUUUUAAAAAGAAUUAUAAAAAUUUUCAUUAAAUUUGUAUUGCAUAAAAAUGUUUUAACAAUACUUUUUUUUAAAUAAAAAAAUCAUAAAAACGAGCUUUUUAAGGGUUAAUUAUUUUUUUUAUGUUAUUGUUUUUAGUUAUUCAAAGGUAUGUUUACUUCAAAUAAGGGAAGCAUGUGCAUAGUUUAAUUCUUUAUAAAUAUUUAAAUGUUUUUUUAAACUUUUCUUAUUUUAUUUUAUUUUCUAUUUUUAAUUUAAUUUGAAGAUUUAAUCUAAUUAGCAUAUAAUAGAAGUGGAUUUUCCUAAAAUAUUAAGAGGUUUUAGCAAUACGAGUUGGAUCGGGUAUGUGUCGGGUAUAUAUGAAUAUGGAUCAGAAUAAGUUAAAUAGAUCAAAUAUGAGUUCAUUCGUUUUCGACCGGACUCAAAUCCGGCUUGAUCCGGUUUCGACCCAACCCAAAUCCGACUCGAUCCACUCAUUUAACGGGUCUAGAUUGAAUUGACGUAAGCACGUGCGUCUUCGUAGCUACUGCCGCUCCCCUCCUAUAAAUCUCGGCUCGCCCGACAUCUUAGCCAUCGUCACGGUGCAGUGCAGGGAACGAGCGAGCUCGAGCUAGACGACGGCAAUGGCAGCGUCGACGACGACGGUGGGGAGGAUCAAGCUGGGGUCGCAGGGCAUGGAGGUGUCGGCGCAGGGGCUGGGCUGCAUGGGCAUGUCCAUCGGCUACGGCCCUCCCAAGCCCGACCCCGACAUGAUCGCCCUCAUCCACCACGCCGUCGGCUCCGGCGUCACCUUCCUCGACACCUCCGACAUCUACGGCCCCCACACCAACGAAAUCCUCCUCGGAAAGGUCGGUUCUCUCAGUCUCUCUUUUGCCUCCGCAUGAAUCAUACGUGCUUAUAGUGUUACGGAAUUCAGCUUCAUCGAGCAGGAUGCUCCGAUCCUGCGCCUUGGUUUUCUGAUUUCGGGGUUGAUUUUGAGCAGGCACUGAAGGGAGGGGUGAGGCAGAAGGUGGAAUUGGCGACCAAGUUCGGAGUCAGCUUCGCGGACGGGAAGAGGGAGAUCCGGGGCGAUCCGGCGUACGUGAGGGCUGCUUGCGAGGCCAGCUUGAGGCGGCUCCACAUCGAUUGCAUUGACCUCUACUACCAACAUCGCAUCGACACUCGCGUCCCCAUCGAAGUCACUGUAUGGAUCCCACAUCAAACCUUUACCUCUCUCGGGACUUUCUCCGAGUGAUCAGUUGCUAAAUUAGAAUGGUGUUGAUGAUGCAUCAUCAUCAAGAUAUCGUUAAAUGUGACUUGAGUUCAGAUGAUAGCAGAGUUCAAGAUGUGGCACGGUGUUGUUCAAGGGAUUGCGGAAUUUAGUAGUUUAUAUGGCUUGAGUUUUUGUUUUAUGGGUCAACAAGCAUGAAAAUUAUUCGAAAUCCAGGGUUCACCCUGAUUUAUAUCUGAGAAUCACAUUUGAAGUUGUUCCUGGACUUUCUGCGCAGACAUUUGGUUCUUGACUUGUCAUUGUGAAAUAUGACAAGUACUUGGAAUACUUCUUUAAUUUGCCUUCUUCUGUGAUAGAUUAGAGAGAUCCAUUUCCGUUAACGAUACCUUGCCAUUUUCUUGUUGCAUUGAGAUGCAUAAAGAUUGACUAUUUUUUGCUAGGAGCUACCUAAUCAAAUUGUAAUGUUUGAGAAGUCAGGGAACACAAACUAUUCAGGCAUCAGGACACAAGAAAAACUAAUGAUGUUCAAUAACUUCUGGAUCUUAACACGUAAGAUUUUGACGAUUGUUGUUUUGUCAUGUGAAUAUGCACAGGUUGGAGAGCUAAAGAAGCUCGUUGAAGAGGGUAAGAUAAAGUACAUCGGUUUAUCCGAGGCCUCUGCAUCAACAAUCAGAAGAGCACAUGCUGUUCAUCCCAUCACAGCAGUGCAAUUGGAGUGGUCGCUUUGGUCAAGAGAUGUGGAGGCAGAGAUCAUUCCCACGUGCAGGUAGGAUAUCACUGUUUAUUUGUUUAUGCAGUAACAACAUCUUUCUUCUGACUCUGCUCUUCCUUAAAAUGUUGACUAGGGAGCUUGGCAUUGGAAUUGUUGCCUACAGUCCUCUUGGACGAGGAUUCUUUUCUGUUGGCUCCAAGUUGGUGGAGAAUCUCUCUAAGGAUGACUUCAGACAGGUCUGUUUCUGCUGGUUAACAUAAUUAGAUGCUCACAGUUACUGUCAUUCCCAUUGAAGUGCUGGAAACCUGUUCUUAUUCUAUAAAGAAAAAGUUUGUGACACGAAUGCUUCAUAUUCUUAUUCGAUCCAGCACUUGCCAGUCAUCCCACCUCUCGUGAUUCUAGAUAAAUUUAAAAAUCACAAGUAAUGGCUUUAAUGAGCCUGAAAGGGGCAGUUUUCUGGAUUCUCGUGCUUUUGGGAAUGAACAAAUAUAGGUUUAUUUGUAAGUUGCUCCGUUUCCCAGCUUUCCCACCAUUUGCUUAUCACUAUCCUUUCCCCACUUUCCACCCGCCCUUUUUCUCUCAUAUCUCUUCACAAGAUUAGCAAUAUUUGCUCAAAAUAACCGAGACCAGUAUCGGGCCUUGGCCUCCGUCCUUUUUGUUUCUCAUCUUUCUUCACAAGAUAAAUUAUAUCUUGACACAACCAUUUCUUGAGCGAGGACUCCCUAACACCCUUCUUAUGAGAGUGUUGGGAUCAAGUUCCCAUCUGACAUAAAGCCAAUUGUGUAUUACUCCUGGCCAUUAGUGUUUGAGUAGCGAUAGUGCUGGGCAAGUGAAGUAGCUAUUUUUCUUUGUAGCUAAAUGAGCUUUGCGUCUGAUAACAUUCUUCUACACGUCAUCUACCUUUUGUGAUUUUUUUUUCUUAUGUGUGACUAAUGUUACCAUCACACGUACAAAACUUAGAUUGUCUAGUUUGUUUCUGUUUUCACUUCCUACAUCAAACCCAUCAGCCUUGUGUGGUAGUUGCUAGAUCACUUCGCUCGACGUUUCUAGUUCUUAUGAUUUGGGGCUAGGUAUUUUAAUCAUUUCAAGAUAAUCAUAACUGAUCAUGCUUUUCCAGGUACACAACAAUUGUGCACUUCUAAAUGCUUAUUAGGUCAAGUAACAAGGCAAUCUGUUGGCAUGCAAUGCGAUCACUUUUGCACCUUGCUGCUGUAGAAUUUGGCCUUAAAAGGAAAAUGAUAGUUGCUCAUAUGCUUUCUGCUGAGACAUUGCUCUAUGUUAUGCAGAACCAACCAAGGUUCCAGCCAGAGAACUUGGCUCACAACAUGAAGUUAUUUGACCGAGUGAAUGAAAUUGCGCAAAGAAAGGGAUGCACCACAUCGCAGUUAGCCCUUGCCUGGGUACACUACCAGGGUGAUGAUGUUUGCCCGAUUCCCGGCACGACCAAGAUCGAGAAUUUCAACCAGAACAUUGGAGCUCUGUCAGUGAAGCUUACACCGGAAGAGAUGGCUGAGCUCGAAUCAAUUGCUUCUGCAGACAAUGUCAAGGGUGGCAGGUACAAUGGAAACCUCUCUCCAUGGGAAAACUCCGACACUCCACCCCUUUCUUCUUGGAAACCUGCCUAGAAACAUGUCUACUUCUGUUGCUGCGUCUUUGAUAUGCAGAGUUUGUGCAUUUGCCGCUGAAGUAAUUUGAGGCUAUGUUGUGUGGCUGUUAUAAGUACGUGUAAUAAGAGAGUGACUGUUUUCGUUUUGUACAUGUGACAUUCACUAUGAGAAGAUUAUGGAUAUGUUCUAAGCUUACUGGGGAAAGAUCACCCGCUAACACGAGAGCAAGUUUUUUAUGAACCGAGCUUGCCGUGCCGACUUUAUCGGGGUGACUUUUAGAAUAUGAGAAAUUGGGAUUUUGAAGAAUUCAAACUCAGUCAUACAUACUAGAGUGAUGCUUUAUUCUCCUCCAACUAGUCUUGGUCCAGUUUCCAGAGAGAUUAGGUCGAUCCUUGGUCCUAGAAUUUCAGGACUAGCACUGUGCGGGUCGAUUCUUAGUCCUAAGAGUUCUAGGUCGGUCCAAUCCAAACCAACCUUAUAUAUAUAUAUAUAUAUUAUUUAUAAUUUUUUUAUAUAGAGAAAACCUUAAAACAAACGGCGUCAAUAACAUUAAAGAGUUAUUUAGUAAAGAGUUCAAGUAAUUUUACAUUGUUCUUUAAUAUUUUAGAUUUUUAAUGUCUUUUACGAUAUUAAUAGUCAUAAUUUACGAAGGAGGAAAUUGUUUUUGUAAGGAGUCCUCAUGAUAUCUAAAAAGGUAUAAAUGGCAUCAUUCUUUAGUAUUCGUUCUCUUUGGUUUUAUUCGUUCUCUUAAUUAUCAAUUUGCCAAAAUUGAAAGAAGCAAUCGCUCACUUUGGGUCACUCCUGCCGCUCGCCGCUUAAUGCUCGCUUGGCUUGUUGCUCCAUGCUCGAUAUUCGAUAUUUAUUCUGUUCGACGCUCACCCCACUUGACUCUCGUUGCUUGCCUUUUUUAGUUGACCUUGCUCAUCAUCGAAUCCAUUAGGUCAAUAUGGUCCUCAGUUGCUUUUUCAAGGAUUACAAAAAAUGAAAUAAAAAAUUAUUAAUUAGUCCUAAGUUGACCUUGAAACCAGACCGAACCCAUUGGGUCCGUUUGAUCUUCAAUCGCUUUUUUAAGGUGUACAAAAAAUGAAAUAAAAAAUUAUUGGUUGGUCCCGGGUUGACCCUAGAACUGGACCGAACCCAUUGGAUCAGUUCGGUCAUUGGUCCUAAGCUUAAUAGGGUUGGUUCUCGGUCCAAAAAACUGAGGACCAGCAUUGUGUGAGUUGGUCAUAGGGUUAGGGGGUGAACCGGCCCAACCUGGACCAUACUCACUCCUACCUCUAACCAUGAGUUCAAUACUAGCACCAUGUGCAACAUACUCUUAGGACUGGAUGCUACACAUAGAUACAACGCUUCGCUUUGUGUUUGGUUUCGUAGCGAAGUAAAGGAACAGUAAAAUGCUAUUGGAUGUUCUCGCGAAAAUGAAGUUUGGGAUAAAAUGUUGGCGCGGUUGAUAUGAGUGUCGAGGAAAUCGAAGGUUUCUUGUUCAAGUUUAACCACCUACGGUUCAUGAGCUUUUAUGUAGCUCAAUACCUUCGCUCAUGCCUCUGCAUUAUUAUAAAACAGUCGGAGAUAUUGCGCAAGUUUCCUAAAAUUAAAAACAACAAUUCUAUUGUUUUUUAUUUGGAGUUAGAGUGGAGCAAUGUCGUUUUGUUUUGAUUUAGGAAAAUAACGCAAAUAGUCAUUGAACUUUGGUCCAAUGUGUUAUGUUCUUAUUGAACUUUUAAUUUAUUUAGUAUGACUGUCGAACUUUUUAUACAUGUUUAAUUUAGAUCCUAGGCUAGAUAAAUCCAACGAUGCUGUGUUUGGUCGUUCGAACAUCUUUGCUGUAUGGGAUAAUGAAUGGAUGAAAAUCCCAUCUAAUAUUUCUUGACGUCUGGAUAUAGCAUGAUUCAAAAUAAAUCUUUUUUUUUUUAAAUGAGUGUUUGAUUUGUAUAAUUAAAAUUAAAAAUAAACCAUGGAAGUCGUGAAUAGUAUUCAUCCUUUCACAAUCUUCAUCGAUAUUAAACACCCCCGUUCCAUGUGACUUCAAGGACGCUCUCUCCUUCUGCAACGCCCCUUUCGCUGCCCUUGAUCAACUUGAUGGAUUACGCUCGCUCUACCUUUGACUUCGCCACAUUGAGAGGCCCUUGGGUUUGAGUUCUCCGCUGGUCUAGCCAUCUUUACUUCGAAUGCCUUUUCCUGCGAUGAAUCCAUCCCCUUCGACGAGUGCGAAUACUGCGUUGAUUCCCUGUUACCGUGCCCCGACUUGUUCAGUCGCUUCAACAGCUUCCCCCGAGACAGCGUGCGGAUCCGGUUUAUGAGUGGUAGCACCAUCGGUGCUACUCGCUCCGAGUGACGUGGUUGAAGAGCUCUAUCACCUUGGCUGCCGCCUCUUUCGGAUCAUCUUCUUCACAGAGAAGAUGUCCAGCUUUGAUCGGGAUCACAAAGUUCCCUACUAAAAUGGAGUUAAGUGACAUAAGAAAGAGGCAGGGCUGACGAGCUCCGACGCCACUUUUCCGAGGCAGCCAAAGGUGGUAAGCAGCUUGUCACUGGUAGGAGGAACGGUGGCCCUUAGACUUUGCUCAGGUCGUUGUGGCGAGGGCUUCUCUAGGUAUCUUCGCGAUACUCAUGCUCUAAGUUUGUGGUGGUCAUUUUAGUGAGAGAAAUUGAAACAAGAGAGAUGAUGCGGCACCGGUCAAAAGUGAGGAUAAGCCAUCAACAAGCGCAGGAGUGGGGGAAAAACUUGUAUCCCUUAUUUUUUUCAAUUUUCCAAAUUUCACAUAUCCUAUUUGGAUCUAUAUCACUUUCUAGAUGAGAUUUUUUAUCCGGACUAUAUCCAAAUUUCACGUUACUCUAAACACCGGAUAUGAUCAAACUUAUCAUAUCAGAGUUUUAUUCGGCCCAUCAAAGACAGACUUAUGAGAUAGAAUGCAAUGAUAUAAUCUAUGAAUUAGAUUAAACAUUUAUUAAAAGUUUAAGAAUAAUAUUUCACAUUUUGAUUGUUAGGAUGCACGAGUGAGUUAUGUUAAAACAAUCCCACAAUAUAUUGAUAGCUUUGUAAUAAGGCUUUCUCUUGGUGAUGACAUAGAUCCAUAUGGAGAAAUUAAUGGGAGGGUUUAUUUGGCCUAACUAAAUGGGAGGCUAUAUCAAUCGGAGCUUUUUCAUUGUAACAUUCCCUUGUGCUUGGUAUUUGUAUUUUAGUAAAAGGAUUUUGCUAGCAUAAUAAUCUUUGGGUUAUCAUGAGAAUAACAAUUUAUUAUGAUUUACAAAAUUUUAAAAUAGUAAACCUCAAUUCAAUUUUAAACUUUUUUUUUUCUAACUAAUUCAAUCCUAAAUAUUUUGCAUUUGUGACAAUUUAGUCUAUUCGGCCAUUUUUCGCCAAGAGGCAUUGAUGUGAACUUUGGCUGAUCGACCAAUGCUGACAUGGACAAUUUUUUUAAUAAUAUUUUAUUUUUCUUAUUUUUUAUUAAUUUUUUCUUUCUUUUUUUCUUCACUUCCUUCUCCUUCCUCCAGCCAGUCGGCAAGAGGCAAGGUUGGUGAGGGACCUUGCUGGCCUUGAGGAAGCUUGGCCAUGGUUGGGCAACCUUGCUCGUGGCUAGGCGACCUCGCCGAGGCCGCCGAUUGGGCUGGCGAGGGUUGACCCUCGUUGGCCAUAGGUCAGGACAAAGGCUGCUAGUUGGGCUUGCCCUUAUUGAAUCUGGUGAGGGUUGAGUCUCAUUGGCCAUGGGCAAGGUCAAAGGCCGCGACCUCUCGUGGUCUCUGGCGAGGCUUGCCAAAGGUUGAGCAAGGCUUACCCUCAUUGGACUGACGAGGGUUGAGCCUCGUCAGCCAAGAGCGAGAUCGUAACUUGCCCAUGGCCGGUGAGGCUCGCCUAGGCCAAAGACAGGCGGGGCCUUGCCUAACCAUGGCAAGGGUGGCCUCACCAUUGUUGGGUGAGGCUAGCCCUUGCCAGUGGCGUGUGGGGGUAAGCCUUGCCAUUGGUUGGCAAGGCUGACUUCACUGGCUUGAAUAAAAUAAAAUAUUAUUAAAAGAUUAUUCACAUCAAUAUUAGCCGAACGAGUGGUGCUCGUCGGCCAAAAUUGGCCGGAUGAAUUGAAUUAGUAUAAUUGCAAAAUGUUUAGGACUGAAUUGGCUAGAAAAAAAAAAGAUUUUAAGACUAAAUUAGAAAAAUUGCAAUAAGUUUAUGAUUGUUUUGGUAAUUUUUUCGUAUAAUAACCCUAGUAAAGAUGACUCACUUAAUUUGAGCGUCAAUAAAUCAAAGGUCACUUGUUUAGUUCUCACAACUUAUUUGUAAAUCACUUUAGAAGUGCAAAUCCAAUCAAUUUAUGAGCUUGCAAAAUGAGUCUCUAGAUAAACCAACUUUUGUAUUCGUGCUUCAGGAUUAUAAUAAAAUAUUAGAGGUUUUCAUCAGUGUAUCAUGAUAGGCUAGAUAGGGCGUUUUCUUUUGCACUUGUCAUACAUGAUCAUUUUGUAUCCUUUGAACUCAUGUUAUUUGUUGGUACUAGGUUGAGUGGUAAUAUGAUCUCCUACCUUAUACUUAGAUAUUUCAUUUAUUAGGCUUCGCCUCACUCCUUUUUUUCUUUUUUUUUCUUUUUUGUUGUAGGAUGAUUCCCCUAAAGAUGGUGACGGAGGGGCCGAGUUGAUAUCGGAAGCCAUUAAUCCUUGAGUUGGAUGGUAGUUUAGUUAGUAUGGAUGUAAUGGUAUUAGGUGACCCCGAUCUUUCCUAGGACUAUAAAAUUUUUUGUGAUAAUUACUAUCGAUAUUGUAUAAAGCCAAAGACACUUUUUUUUUUAAUAAACUCAUGCAUUUUUCUAGUAAAGGAUGUUGUGAAAACUUUAUUGUCUUUUCCAUGCGUAAUUAUAACUAUGAGUAUAAAUGGAAAUGACAUGUGCCGCAUGUGAUGUUCCAAGGCGUCACAUAAUCCCCAACACUCAAAUUAGGGUCCAUUAAGGCAGUGCUUAAAACUAUGAUGCUCAAGUUCUAUUCGGCAGCACUUAGGCUCGGGUCCAACAAGAUCGUGUGUCAGUCCUCAAUGCUCGGGCUCGGCUCGUUAGUUAAUAAAAUGUUGUUCUUAUAAAAAUAAUUCUUUUUAUUUUCAUUUUAUAUUCAUUUGUUUUCUUUCUUUUUCUUUCUCCUUCUUCUUGGCUGGUUGCCGACCAUGAUGACGAUUGCGCCUGAGAACAAGCGAGAGAUGAGCUAGCCCAAGGCCAAGAAGACUUGAGAUUGCUGAUUUGGCAAGCUUGAAGUUGGUUGAUCAAGUGACGCUAAAGCUCCCUAGCGUUGGGCAACCUCGAGUUUCACCUCAUGGCUAGUCGCCAACUACCACCGUGGCGAGCGAUCGGUUGAGGAAGAAGAAAAAUAAAAAUAAAAUUAAAAGAGAAAAUAACUAAAAAUCUGAAUAUUUUGGCAUUUUCUAUAGGGAAAUCAAAUCGAAAAAAUAUUUUCUAGUUUAUCUUUAGGACUUAACCAAAUAUUGGAAAUAUUAUUCAGAUAUGUCAUAUUUUUUGCGAAACAAACGGUGCGUAAAUAUUUAGAUUUGAUAAUUGUCCAUGUUAAUUAGGUACACAUUAUCUCACUCUUUGUUUCGUUGCCGAACUGAUGCUAAUCUCUAGACGAAGCUUGACUAGUCUCAACUCAAUAGGCGGCUUGACUUUUGCGCUUCCUUUUCUUCUUUUCUUUUUUCUUUUUAACUCAAAACACUCAAAACUUUCCUGGUACACGACUGUCGUCGUGUUACAAUCACUUUCAAUAAUGAUGGCCAUCCGAGCAAGAUGAGGGCGACUGGUCCCCCUAGAAAUUGUCAUGACGUUUGACUUUCAUGAAUUGAAAUGACUUUUCUCUGUCAAGGAGAAAAAUAGUUAACUAGUCAAGAUCGUGCCACAUCUCUCCAUCCAUGUCCUCCACAUCCGGCCCCACCAAUCGGACUCCCCGACAAAAAAAAUCGAGGACACGUGGCUGGAUCUAGAAAGUCACAGGUUCGACUUGUCUACUGUUAUCACUGUCCUUUUGCAAUAAUUUUUUUACACCCGUCUAGCUGUUGUGAGCUCCUCUGACAUACUAAUUGUGUGGAUAUGGUGAACUUGGGACCUUCUAUAAUCUGUCCAUAUUAAAAAUUUAAAAUGGACAAAUUCCGCCUCUCAUUGUGGAAUUCCACCCACAUUUCUCGCAAACUUUCAAACAUUAGUUCCAGGUCGUGCAUUCCAAUUGAGCCUUGUCUGGUCAAAUAUCAAAGUACUCUAGAGAAAAAUUUUAAAAAAAAUUGUAAAAAAGAGAGAGAAGGAAAACGAUUCAGCCUUAUAAUAACUUGCUAGGAACCACGUAGUUAAUUAGAGCAUCAAGAAAUUAGAGGUAGCUUGUGUAGUUCUCGCAAGUUACUUGUAAAUUGCUUUAGAAGUACAAACUUAAUUGAUUUAUGAGCUUGCACCAUAUUUUAUGAGUUUCUGAAUAACCAACUUUUGUAUUCAUGCAACUCACUCCGCUGUGACUGAGUUGGUUCGGACGUUCCCUCCUCUUCCAAUUGGGGGGAGGUUUGAGUCACCACGAUUGCAUUUGCGCAACUUAAGUGCGGCGCCAUGAGAGGUGGGUCCCCGUGCUAGCGUCACCGUGGGUUUACGUCGCCAGCUGCCGGUUGUACGGCGAUUCUCAAGUCAUAAAAAAAAAAGAAAAAAGAAAAUUUGUAUUCAUGCUUGUAGAUUAUAAUAAAAUAAUUGGUUGUGGUGGGCAAUUGAGAGUGACACCGUUUUCGCCUUUUAUUUUUUGUAAUAUGUGAAGUGUUGUUCUGUUUUUUGUUUUCGUCACCCUCCCACUUGUGCUAUAUUUGUUAGGUCUCCUCGCCAGGAGUUCGUCACUUUAUGUUAUUGACCUCUUAAUUAAAUACAACAAUACCUUCAAGGACUGCUCUUCAUAAAGGCGCGGAUUGGACGGCCGGUGACCGAGAUAGCAGCCUCCGCCCCUCCCUCGGUCUUGCCCUUUGCAUAACUUUUAGAAAACAUGCGUGAUUAGAGGAUCAAUAGUGACUUAAUUCUAACCCGUAUCGAUGUUACCCGUUUAGCAUCUCUUAGUAAAUGUAAAUAUUGUACGCGGAUGACAGCAUUUUGAAGAAUUUACAAUUGGUGUUCUUUUAUUAAAUAUGGUUGAUAUCAUGAAAAAUCUUAGAUUGAUACAUUUGCGACAAACUUAUCCCAAACUAUUUUUUUUACACAAAAACCGUAAACUAGUAUAUUUGUAAUUUUACCUAAAACUAUUUUUUUUUAUCGUCAAAAACCUCAAACUGAUAUAUUUGUAGCAAAAUUACUCUUUACUAACUAGUGUUAAAUUAUACUAAUAUGAAUUGGUACAUCUAUGACAAACGAAGGGUAAAAUCCUAAAUUGGUACACUCAUUAACUAUCAUAUGUCAUUUAACUCAGUAAUUUAAUAGUACAAUUUAAGGGAAAUUAACGGAGGGUCAAUUUGUCAUAGGUGUAUCGGUAUGAGAUUUUUGAUAGCAAAUGUAGGAGUUUUACAUGGUAUUAAACUCUAUUGCAUAUGAUCAAAAGUCCUAGUUUCUACUAUUUUUGUCGACACAAUACCUUAAAAAACCUCAAACUUAAGCUCUGAUCCUAAUUCUAUCUUUUGUGUUAUAAGACCUCCAACUUUAGAUCAUGUCCCAAUUCCACCCUAACAUACAUAUUUUAGAAAACCCCAUAUUUUAGUUAUAGUCCCAAUCUUAUCUAAACAUCUGUUAUCUCAUAAAAUCCCUCAAAUUUAGGUCAAGUACCAAUUCCAACCUAAACGUUAUUUUGUCUUAUAAAAAGAAUCCUAGCUUUAGGUCCAAUUUCAUUUUCACUUUUUUUUUUUAUCUCAUAAAAGAUUACCAACUUUUACUUGAGUCCCAAAUCCACUCUCCAUUAACCCUCCAUCAAAAUUGCCCUUAGUGAUUUUGUGCUCGGUUUUUGAUCUCGCGUGCUUGGAAAUAUUUCAUUUCUCUUGAACAACUUGUGCUUGAGGGUUUUCCAUCUCUCGAUGUCAGCAGGAAAUUUUGCACGAAGGGUUAAUGGUGGCAAAUAUGCGACUCAAGUAAAAAUUUAUAGUUUUUUCAUCAGACUAUAAAAAUUUUACGGUAAUAUUGAGAGUGGAUAGGCUUUUCAUAAGACAAGAAAAGGUUUAAGGUAGAAUUAGUAUAUUAUUUAAAAUUGAAUUGUGAAUGGCUAUAAAAUUAGUGAUUUUUUUUAUGAGAUAAAAGGUAAAAUUAGGAGAAAAGCUAAAGUUAGAGAGUUUUUUUUAGGGUAUCAAACCUAUUUUUGUCAAUCAUAUGAUGUCAACAUUAUCUUUGUUUUUGUUUUUCUUUCAAUUGUCCAUUUGGUCGGUUCUUUUCUAUUCUUAUUCUCAAACUUUUGCCUUGACUCAUUACAAGUGUGAGAAUUGAAACCACAUUUGAUACUAUAUUGUCCCCCGGUAGGCAUUCAAAACCCCCAUCUCCCGCUUCUCAUGUAAGUUAUGAAUGGAGCCUUCGUGUCGUGUCCGACACGCUCGAAGAUGCGGUCAAUACGUGUUCGAAAUCCGACACGUGAACAAUUCUUAUUGACACAUUCUAACACACAAGUCCGAGAGAGAGGAUCGUUGAAGAAAACAAUGGCAAGGGAGCGAAGGCAACGGCAAGGCCACGACGGUGAGAGAGGGCUAGAGGAAGAGUAGAGACCGAGAUGACCUAAAGAGAGGAUCGUGACUGCAAUGGAGGGCCGGUGGCGAGACUGCACCUAUGUAGGAGGAAGGGUUGGAGGUGAGGCGGCAAGCGAUUAUGACAAGGCAAUCAAGAGAGAGAAGAGAUUGAGAGGUGGAUGGUCGUGCGAGGAGGAGGGGAAGGCCAGGGCUAGGGUUUUUGAAGGGGGAAAAUCAAAAAAUUAAAAACAUGAUUUUGAUGGGACAUUAGGGUUGUGCAAGGAGGAGGGGAAGGCCAGGGCUAGGGUUUUUGAAGGGGAAAACUCAAAAAAAUUAAAAACAUGAUUUUGAUGGGACAUUGCUGUGAUUUCUCCUUUAUGGAGAGGGGGAGCGUGUCGGGAGGUGGAGGGGGAGGGCAGAUAAAUGAGGGAAAGAUGAGUGAAAUAAGUUUGUUGGGGGCACAAAAGGAGGGGUUGGUAGGACCUGAGCAAGUCCUUAGACUGCUCCGUCUGGUCGGAAAUAGCCCACGGACGUAAAAUGUGGGCAAUGUUAAUCGUGGGAGAUCAGACCACCCUGUGUAAGGAUCUCCUGGCUCAGAUUCCCGCGAUGCCUUUCUCCUAACAUAUUAGGCUGGGUACAGGAAAAUGAUGAGUGAAAUAAGUUUGUUGGGGGGGGGGGGCACAAAAGGAGGGGUUGGUAAGGGUUGGCAUGGACCCCAUGGAUUUUUAUUUUUUUUUAAUCAAAAAAAUAAAUAAGGAAGGCCAGAAAGUGGGGGAAGAAACUAUGGAAAGAGAGUGAAGUAAAUGUGGGGGUGAGGGUUGGGGUGGACCACGGGGGUCUUUUCUUAUCAGAAAAAUAAAUAAGAAAAACUAUAAGGUGAUUUCGGAAAAUGAAAGUGUUGAAUGUUGAAUAAUAAUAAAAUUUGAUAAUUGUAAAAGAUUAUAGAUUUAUUUAAAUAAGUUAAUUCUAAUUUUUCUUAAUCAUUAGUUUUAUCAAUAAUUUUUGUUAGAGUUAGAAAUAUGUUCGUAUGGAUGCUAUAUGGCAUAUGGAAAGGGUGGCCUCACUUCUGGCGUUUCAUGUAUGGAAAGAGUGAUUAUUAAUGGCGCAUUUGGUAACGUUUUUGUUUCGGAGGACAAUUUUUGAAUAGAAAUAGUUUUUUUUUUUGUUCUAGGGAAUAAUUUUUGAGUAUAAGAAUGUGUUUGGUAACUGCAAACAAUUUCUACUCUAAAAAUAGAAACGCGCUUGGUAAACUUGUAUAAUUUCUUUGUUUCUUUUAAUUUUUUAAUAUUUUUAAUAUUUUUUUUCUUUUUUUCUUUUUUCUUUUUCUCUUUGGUCGGUUGCUGGCUAUGGCGAUGUCCGUUGAGCCUUGUCCAGGCAACGCGAGGUUCGCCUCGUGCCGAUUGGGGAGGUCAAGGCCUCUUGGCUUUGUCUGGGCUAAGCGAGGUUGACCUUGCCCAGCCACCGGCGAGACUCGGCCUCGCUGGGCCACCGCUAGGCGACUCUGUCCUGGAGGUGGCUCGGCGAGGUCGAGCCUCAUGCGGCCAUGGCGAGGCUCGGCCUCUCUGGGGGCUAGCGACACUCCGGCGAGGUCGUCGGCUCUCGUCUAGCCAGUUGCCGGUGUCAACUAUGGCUAAGGCUGAUGACNNNNNNNNNNNNNNNNNNNNNNNNNNNNNNNNNNNNNNNNNNNNNNNNNNNNNNNNNNNNNNNNNNNNNNNNNNNNNNNNNNNNNNNNNNNNNNNNNNNNCGUCUGGUCGAAAACAGCCCAUGGACGUAAAAUGUGGGCAAUGUUAAUCGCGGGAGAUCGGACCACCCUGUGUAAGGAUCUCUCGGUUCAGAUUCCCGCGAUGCCCUUCUCCUAACGUAUUAGACUGGGUACAGGAAAAUGACGAGUGAAAUAAGUUUGCUGGGGGCACAAAAGGAGGGGUUGGUAAGGGUUGGCAUGGACCCCAUGGACUUUUAUUUUUUUAUCAGAAAAAUAAAUAAGGAAGGCUAGAAAGUGGGGGAAGAAACUAUGGAAAGAGAGUGAAGUAAAUGUGGGGGUGAGGGUUGGGGUGGACCACGGGGGUCUUUUCUUAUCAGAAAAAUAAAUAAGAAAAACUAUAAGGUGAUUUCGGAAAAUGAAAGUGUUGAAUGUUGAAUAAUAAUAAAAUUUGAUAAUUGUAAAAGAUUAUAGAUUUAUUUAAAUAAGUUAAUUCUAAUUUUUCUUAAUCAUUAGUUUUAUCAAUAAUUUUUGUUAGAGUUAGAAAUAUGUUCGUAUGGAUGCUAUAUGGCAUAUGGAAAGGGUGGCCUCACUUCUGGCGUUUCAUGUAUGGAAAGAGUGAUUAUUAAUGGCGCAUUUGGUAACGUUUUUGUUUCGGAGGACAAUUUUUGAAUAGAAAUAGUUUUUUUUUUUGUUCUAGGGAAUAAUUUUUGAGUAUAAGAAUGUGUUUGGUAACUGCAAACAAUUUCUACUCUAAAAAUAGAAACGCGCUUGGUAAACUUGUAUAAUUUCUUUGUUUCUUUUAAUUUUUUAAUAUUUUUAAUAUUUUUUUUCUUUUUUUCUUUUUUCUUUUUCUCUUUGGUCGGUUGCUGGCUAUGGCGAUGUCCGUUGAGCCUUGUCCAGGCAACGCGAGGUUCGCCUCGUGCCGAUUGGGGAGGUCAAGGCCUCUUGGCUUUGUCUGGGCUAAGCGAGGUUGACCUUGCCCAGCCACCGGCGAGACUCGGCCUCGCUGGGCCACCGCUAGGCGACUCUGUCCUGGAGGUGGCUCGGCGAGGUCGAGCCUCAUGCGGCCAUGGCGAGGCUCGGCCUCUCUGGGGGCUAGCGACACUCCGGCGAGGUCGUCGGCUCUCGUCUAGCCAGUUGCCGGUGUCAACUAUGGCUAAGGCUGAUGACUGGCAAAAGGAAGAAGAAGAAGAAGAAGAAGAAGAAAAGAAAGAGAAAAUAGAAGAAGAAAAAUGAUAAGAAAAAAAAGUGUUUUUCGAAAGUGUUCUCGAGAAUAAGAAAUAAGUUUUUUUUUUUAAUUUCUUAUUUUUGUUCCAAAGUUGCUCUCACAAUAAAAAAAAAAGACCAGAAUAAAAGUAUAAACAAAUGAGUUUCUAUUCUUUUUUGGUUCUCUGGAACAAAAUAAUAAAAAUUUAUAUUCCAGGAAAAAAAAAUAAUUUUAAACGAACACACCCUAAGAUAUCUUUUGUAUUCCGGGGAAGUAGUUCAAUUGACGUGAGCCCGUGCGUCUUCCCUACAUGGGAAGGGUCGUCACUGGGUCUCAUCUGACCUAAGCAAGUGCGUCUUCACAGCUUUUACCGCUCCCCUCCUACACUUCGUAGCUACCGCCACUCCCCUCCUAUAAAUCUCGGCUCGCCCGACGCCUUCGCCAUCGUCUCGGUGCAGUGCAGGGAACGAGCGAGCUCGAGCUAGACGACGGCAAUGGCGGCUUCGACGACGACGGUGAGGAGGAUCAAGCUGGGGUCGCAGGGCCUCGAGGUGUCGGUGCAGGGGCUGGGCUGCAUGGGCAUGUCCGCCUUCUACGGCCCUCCCAAGUCCGACACCGACAUGAUCGCCCUGAUCCACCACGCCGUUGGCUCCGGCGUCACCUUCCUCGACACCUCCGACAUCUACGGCCCCCACACCAACGAAACCCUCCUCGGAAAGGUCGGUUCUCUCUCAGUCUCUGUUUUGCCUCCGCAUGAAUUAUAUGUGCUUAUAGUGUUACGGAAUUUAGCUUCAUCGAGCAGAGUGCUCUGAUCCUGCGCCUUGGUUUUCUGAUUUCGGGGUUGAUUUUGAGCAGGCACUGAAGGGAGGGGUGAGGCAGAAGGUGGAAUUGGCGACCAAGUUCGGAAUCAGCUUCGCGGACGGGAAGAGGGAGGUCCGGGGCGAUCCGGCGUACGUGAGGGCGGCUUGCGAGGCCAGCUUGAAGCGGCUUGACAUCGAUUGCAUCGACCUCUACUACCAACAUCGCAUCGACACUCGCGUCCCCAUCGAAGUCACUGUAUGGAUCCCCCAUCAAACUUUCACCUCGCUUGAGACUUUCUCCGAGCCAUAUGAUUAGUUGCUAAGUUAGAUUGGUGUUGAUGAUGCAUCGUCAUGUUGUUACAAGUUUGUUGAAAUUUGUUAAAUGACACUUAAGUUCGGCUGAUAGCAGAGUUCAAGAUGCGGCACGUUGUUGUUCAAGGGGUUGUGGAAUUUAGUAGUUUAGUGGCUUGAGUUUUCGUUUUGUGGGCAUCUUUUACAAGUUAAGGGUCAACAAGCAUGAAAAUUAUUCAAAAUCUUCCUUUGAGAUGAAAGUGCUCCAGGGUUCAUCCAGAAUUUAUAUACGGGAAUCACAUAUAAAGUUGUUCCUGGACUUUAUGUGGAGACAUUUGAUUCUUGACAUAUUGUGAAAUAUGACAAGUACUUGGAAUACUUCUUUUAUUUGCUCUCUUCUGUGAGAGAUUCAAGAAAUCAACCUCCGUUAACUCAAUACCUUGUGACUUUUUUGUCGCAUUGAGAUGCAUGAUAAUAGAGGGAUCUAGACGCAUAAAAAGCUAAUGACAUGCAUAAUUUUCUGGAUCUUAACAUGUAAGAUCUUGAUGUUGUUGUUCUGUCAUGUGAAUAUGCACAGAUCGGAGAGCUAAAGAAGCUCGUUGAAGAAGGUAAGAUAAAGUACAUCGGUUUAUCCGAGGCCUCUGCAUCAACAAUCAGAAGAGCACAUGCUGUUCAUCCCAUCACAGCAGUGCAAUUGGAGUGGUCGCUUUGGUCAAGAGAUGUGGAGGCAGAGAUCGUUCCAACGUGCAGGUAGGAUAUCACUCUGUUAAUUGUUUAUGCAGCAACAACAGCUUCCUUCUGACUCUGCUUUUCCUUUAAAAUGCUGACUAGGGAGCUUGGCAUUGGAAUUGUUGCCUACAGUCCUUUAGGACGAGGAUUCUUUUCUGUUGGCUCCAAGUUGGUGGAGAAUAUCUCUAAGGAUGACUUCAGACAGGUCUGUUCCUGCUUGUCAACAUAAUUAGAUGUUUACAUUGACUGUCAUUCUUAUUGAAGUGCUGGAAACCUGUUCUUGUGGUAUAAAGAAAAAGUAUCUGGAUGGGAUGAAUAAAACUUGGUGACACGAAUGCUUCGUGUUCUUAUAUGUCUUUAAUCCAGCACUUGCCAGACAUCCCACCUCUCUUGAUUCUAGAUAAAUGUAAAAUCACAAGUAACGGCUUUAAUGAGCCUGAAAGAGGCAGUUUCCUGGAUUCUCGUGCUUUUGGGAAUGAAUACAUAUAGGUUUAUAUGUAAGUUGCUCUGUUUCCCAGCCUUCCCAACAUUUGCUUAUCACUAUCCUUUCCCCACUUUCCACCCACCCUUUUUCUCUCAUCUUUCUUCACAAGAAUAGCGAUAUUUCCUCGAAAUAACUGACGCCAGUAUCGGGCUUUGGCCCUCCGUCCUUUUUCAUUCUCAUCUUUCUUCACAAGAUAAACUAUAUCUUGACACAACCAUUUCUUGAGCGCGGACUCCCGACACCCUUCUUAUGAGAGUUUUGGAUCAAGUUCCCAUCUGACAUAAAGCCAAUUGUGUAUUACUCCCCGCCAUUAGCGUUUGACUAGCGAUAGUGCUGGGCAAGUGAAGUAGCUAUUUUUCUUUGUAGCUAAAAGAGCUCUGCGUCUGAUAACAUUCUUCUACUCAUCAUCUACAUUUCUGAUUUUUUAUUUUAUGUGACUAAUGGUAUCAUCACACGUACAAAACUUAGAUUGUCGAGUUUGUUUCUGUUUUCACAUCCUACAUCAAGCCCAUCAGCCUUGUGUGGUAGUUGCUAGAUCACUUCGCUUGACGUUUCUAAUGCUUAUGAUUUGGGACAUGAUAUUUUAAUCAUUUCAAGAUAAUUUAUAACUGAUCAUGCUUUUUCAGAUACACAACGAUUGCACACUUCUAAAUGCUUAUUAUGUCAAGUAACAAGACAAUCCGAUGGCAUGCAAUGCAACCACUUUUGCACUUGUUGCUGUAGAAUUUAGCCUUAAGAGGAAAAUGAUAAUUUCUCAUAUGCUCUCUGCUGAGACAUUGCUCUAUGUUAUGCAGUAUCUACCAAGGUUCCGGCCAGAGAACUUGGCUCACAACACGAAGUUAUUUGACCGAGUGAAUGAAAUUGCGCAAAGAAAGGGAUGCACCACAUCGCAGUUAGCCCUGGCCUGGGUACACCACCAGGGUGACGACAUUUGCCCGAUUCCCGGCACAACCAAGAUCGAGAAUUUCAACCAGAACAUUGGAGCUCUGUCAGUGAAGCUUACACCGGAAGAGAUGGCCGAGCUUGAAUCGAUUGCUUCUGCGGACAAUGUCAAGGGUGGCAGGUACGAUGGAAGCAUGUCUACAUGGGAAAACUCCGACACUCCACCCCUUUCUUCUUGGAAACCUGCCUAGAAGCGUGUCUGCUUCUGUUGCUGCAUCUUUGAUGUGCAGAGGUUGAGCAUUUGCCGCUGAAGUAAUUUGAGUUUAUGUUGUGUGGCUGUUAUAAGUAUGUGUAAUAAGAGAGUGACUGUUUUCAUUUUGUACAUGUGACAUUCACUAUGAUAAGAUUAUGGAUGUGUACUAACCUUACUGGGGAAAGAUCACUCGAUAAACACGAGAGCGAGUUGAAUACGAACUGAGCCUGCCGUGUCGACUUUAUUGGGGUGACUUUUAGAAUCUGAGAAAUCGGGAUUUUGAAGAAUUCAAACUCAGUCGUACAUACUAGAGUGGUAUUCUCCACCAACCAUGAGUUCAAUCUCUUAAGACUGGAUGCUGCACAUAGAUGCAAAGCUUCGCUUUGUGUUUG
This 21321-nucleotide long non-coding RNA is filed under the name Eucalyptus grandis. RNAcentral describes it as "long non-coding RNA (EGRA_LNC004551)". The record is from RNAcentral. Lineage: Eukaryota; Viridiplantae; Streptophyta; Magnoliopsida; Myrtales; Myrtaceae.